GAAUCUGGGUGAAAGGUAUAUGAACAUUCUUUGUAGUAUUUUUGCAACUUCUCUGUAAGCCUGAAAUGAUUUCAAAAUUAAAAGUUGGGUUUUUUGUUUUGUUUUGUUUUUAAGGGUAUGAUACAAUCAUUAUUGCUGGAGGAAAAAAUACCAGCAAAGAGCCAGUCCUGCCGGCGAUAGGUGGGUGGGUGCUGCUCGGAGGACUCUGGGUUCCGCAGGAGUGAUGCUCCGGUCACCCUCUGGGGGCCACGGGGAGGAGGUGGUGACGCUGUGAUCCGGAAUUUCAACGAGACAUAUGCAAAUGUCCCAAUGGGCUGUGAAGGAAGUUCAGAGACAGGAGGACGAGGCAACUCAGUGUUUCUAACCCGCAAAGCAGAAGUGAGAAUGGAUGAAGCAAUGACGCCCUAGUCGGAGGAUGGUGACACCAGGCUCUGACCCAGUCUUCCCAGGCUACCCCCCGCAACUGGAAGCCCCCCAAGAUCGGACAGACAUAUUCUUUGAGGAAACACCACCACUCUGGUUUAUUUCAGCUGCAGGUCUGAUCUCCGUAACAGAGCAGACGAGGCUCCUCUCAGCUGAUUUCCAGUCCAGGUUUGGGUGGCUCUUGCCAAACCUUUUAACUCAUAUUCUACAGCGAUAACCCAAGUUAUAAGUAAACUAUUCAAUUAAGCUAUCUAGUUAAUUAAAGAAUUAGUAGUCACUUGUGGAUAAUAUUUCUUUUUCUGGACAGUGAACUGAGUGGGACUGGGCAUAGGAAUGAGUUCCAUUUUUUAUCAGUUUUCCUUGAGGAUAACUA
Chlorocebus sabaeus (green monkey) is the source of this 796-nucleotide long non-coding RNA. RefSeq lists it as uncharacterized. The record is from RefSeq and is a predicted model, not a curated record. NCBI's taxonomy places the organism in Eukaryota, Metazoa, Chordata, Mammalia, Primates, Cercopithecidae.